AUGCAAUUACACAACAAUAUUCCAACUUUGCUUGACCGAUGUGUUUCUAUAUGCACAUAUGCACAUGCAACCAUAAACAUAUCAUGUGAUUGGCAUCUCACAUCUGCACCCAUAUUUUUUGUCCACAUAGUAUAUAAUAUUACAUUACAUGACAAAAACAUAUUACAUCAAAUUCAAAAUCACACUUAA
Non-coding RNA from Vicia faba (fava bean), 189 nucleotides. Lineage: Eukaryota; Viridiplantae; Streptophyta; Magnoliopsida; Fabales; Fabaceae. The record is from the annotation of a GenBank genome assembly.